AUGGUGAAUCCGAUGGCUGAAGAAUGGAUCCGGGUGAAAACCGAAGGAAGGGAUGACGGUGGUAAAUCAAUGACUAACGGCGGUGAAUCAAUGAAAACCAAAGGAAGCAGAGGAAGAUUUAACGGCGGUGAAUCAGUUGGGAGAAUAGUGUUUUUGUUUUUGGCGGUGAGUGGAUGCGGUGAGUGGAUGCGGGAAGAUAGUGUUUUGUUUUGGCGGGUUAUAUUUGGACGAGUUACCCGAGAUCCACCCGAGAACUGGUCCAGUGGAACCAGACUAAUGGACCAGCCGAAAUUCUACUUGGUCGGGAAUGGAUAA
Non-coding RNA from Vicia faba (fava bean), 315 nucleotides. The record is from the annotation of a GenBank genome assembly. Lineage: Eukaryota; Viridiplantae; Streptophyta; Magnoliopsida; Fabales; Fabaceae.